This 428-nucleotide ribosomal RNA is filed under the name Bacteroidota bacterium. Its description in RNAcentral is "Bacteroidetes bacterium partial 16S ribosomal RNA". It matches the Rfam family "Bacterial small subunit ribosomal RNA", at positions 355 to 776 of the family's 1533-position model. The record is from RNAcentral. Lineage: Bacteria; Pseudomonadati; Bacteroidota.
UGGGGAAUCUUCCGCAAUGGACGCAAGUCUGACGGAGCAACGCCGCGUGAGUGAAGAAGGAUUUCGGUUCGUAAAACUCUGUUGUUAGAGAAGAACAGCGCAUAGAGUAACUGUUAUGCGUGUGACGGUAUCUAACCAGAAAGCCACGGCUAACUACGUGCCAGCAGCCGCGGUAAUACGUAGGUGGCAAGCGUUGUCCGGAUUUAUUGGGCGUAAAGCGAGCGCAGGCGGUUAGAAAAGUCUGAAGUGAAAGGCAGUGGCUCAACCAUUGUAGGCUUUGGAAACUGUUUAAGUUGAGUGCAGAAGGGGAGAGUGGAAUUCCAUGUGUAGCGGUGAAAUGCGUAGAUAUAUGGAGGAACACCGGUGGCGAAAGCGGCUCUCUGGUCUGUAACUGACGCUGAGGCUCGAAAGCGUGGGGAGCGAACAGG